GUAGGGAAUCUUCCGCAAUGGACGAAAGUCUGACGGAGCAACGCCGCGUGAGUGAUGAAGGUCUUCGGAUUGUAAAGCUCUGUUAAUCGGGACGAAAGAGCCUAGUGUGAAUAAUGCUAGGAAGUGACGGUACCGGAAUAGAAAGCCACGGCUAACUACGUGCCAGCAGCCGCGGUAAUACGUAGGUGGCAAGCGUUGUCCGGAAUUAUUGGGCGUAAAGCGCGCGCAGGCGGAUCUGCCAGUCUGUCUUAAAAGUUCGGGGCUUAACCCCGUGAUGGGAUGGAAACUACAGAUCUAGAGUAUCGGAGAGGAAAGUGGAAUUCCUAGUGUAGCGGUGAAAUGCGUAGAUAUUAGGAAGAACACCAGUGGCGAAGGCGACUUUCUGGACGAUGUCUGACGCUGAGGCGCGAAAGCUAGGGGAGCGAACGGGAUUAGAAACCCUAGUAGUCC
Molecule: ribosomal RNA, 450 nt
Filed under: uncultured bacterium
Lineage: Bacteria
Description: partial 16S ribosomal RNA
Rfam family: Bacterial small subunit ribosomal RNA
Source: RNAcentral